CAUGGAACCUAUAAAGAUCAUUCAAUGGUGGGCGCCAAGAUCCCUCUGGGAUCUCUUGUUAUUCAUUAAAAUUAUAUCAGACAACUAUUCCAGUGGCAGAGGAAUUAGUUGAAUUUAUUUAUUUAUUUAUUUUUAUUUAUUUUUUCAACUGUUUUUACAUUUUAAAAUGUUUUAGCUUAUACAUUUUAUACGUAGCUAUUACGUAAUUAUUUAAAUAAGCUGGGUACAUUAGCCCUCACAUAUCAAUAAAUUACUUUUUAUAAGUAUUAGACAGCUUACAAAAUUUCCUCCUCCUUUUCAUGUUAAAUCCUUUGUUUUUUUAUUAAAUUUCUAUUGCCGCUUUUUUCUGCAUUUUUUCUUAUAUACUUUUGAUACGCAUACACUAGUAUAAGAUAAAAACCCGCAUACACUAUAGGGACACCCCGGACCAUCUAUACCUCCAGCCAAGCCCGGCAAAAGGACAAAGUACUGUACCUUACGGAAGCAGUGACGUCCUCGACUGUCGGGUGUAACUGGUGGCCUUAGACCCGGGGUACAUAACAGGCACAUUAUAUAUCGCCCCUUAUUUGAACACCAACAUACGACAAUAAUCUCACUCUUGAACACACAUAUAUAUCUACCGAUAUUUUUUGUAAAAAUAACUUAAAAAUAUAUAAAGAUAAAUUUUUAAUAUAAUUAUAUAGUAAGCCUCUUGGCUCCCUUCGGUCGCCCUCCCACGACAAAAAACUAUAACGUGGGAUAAUUUUACACCACCAUAGAGCGACUGGCGUACAUGGGCUUGUCCACAACGGCAAUGAAUGUGACAUGCGUGUUAUUUCCAAAAGUGGAUUAACAUUUGAAAAGGCUUGGAAUCAGUUGAAGAACUUGGUAACAAAUUACAAAAUUUUGGUCCUCCACUUGGGUUAUGAUGAAUUGGCUAAAAGGGAAACUGAUGAAAAAGUUCUUUCAAAGUACCAAACUCUUGUAGAAAAUGUCUGUUUUUUUCAGUCGAUAGGUAUUCAUUAGUGCUUUAAAUAAUAAAUAGGUUUUCAUCUGCAGCCCGCCUUGUGCGUAUAAAUGCUCGGAUGUAAAUAAUUAAUCAUUAACAUUUCAAAUGGCCAAGAGUUCUACAUUUUUUUUCUAAAGUUUUAUUAUUUGUUGAAUACUCACACGGGCAUGUCUAGACUCCCAUUCAGGCCCAACCGAUCCCGUUCAGGUCGACAAUGUUUGUUGGUUCGAUUAGCGACUCGUUUACAUAACUUUCUCAAAAUAUAUAUCUUUUAUUAAAAAAAAACAUAGAAAUGGUAUUUUACUAUGAAAUAGCAUCUCUUCUUGCAUUAUGCACAAAAAUAUUAUACAAACUUAGCUAUAAUACAGCUAAAAUCCCGUUCAGGUCCACUCGAUCCCAUUCAGGUCCGCCGUGUUUGUCAGUUCGAAUAGCGACCCAUUUAUCGAGCUGUAAAAUACAUCAUUAUGAUUUUUUUUUGUACAGAAAUGGUAUUUUACUAUGAAAUAACAUCUCUUCCUGCAUUAUGCACAAAAAAUUUAUUAUACAAACUUAGCUAUAAUACAGCUAAAAUCCCGUUCAGGUCCACUCGAUCCCAUUCAGGUCCGCCGUGUUUGUCGUCCGAUAGCGACUCAUUUAUCGAGCUUUAAAAAACAUCAUUCAAAUUUUUUUUUUCAAAUGAAAAUGGUGUUUCGACAUGUAAUAACACACAUUCUUGCAUAAAACACUGAGAAAUAACACAUUUAUAAUCAAUAAACACCUUUAAAACCCAUUCAGGUCCAGAUUCGGGUCCUUUCAGGUCCAUUCAUGUCUUUAGGAGGACCCCGGUGAUACUAAUAACCGCCUGGUGGAGCUCAACACAGACUGGGGGACAGGGUAGGACAGGAUAGGGAUCAAGGGAACCACUCGGGCCUUUACGUGCAUUCCAGACCAUUUACAUUAUAGUAUUGUGUAUCUGCUAACUCAUUAAGUAAAUACUAUUUGAAAGAAAGAAGGAAAAAUGAAUAAUCUUGAGAACGAAGUUAA
This is a long non-coding RNA of Pecten maximus, 2011 nucleotides long. RefSeq lists it as uncharacterized. The transcript is spliced from 2 exons. The record is from RefSeq and is a predicted model, not a curated record. NCBI's taxonomy places the organism in Eukaryota, Metazoa, Mollusca, Bivalvia, Pectinida, Pectinidae.